This 302-nucleotide non-coding RNA is filed under the name Ananas comosus (pineapple). Its description in RNAcentral is "Bacterial small subunit ribosomal RNA". It matches the Rfam family "Bacterial small subunit ribosomal RNA", at positions 135 to 386 of the family's 1533-position model. Lineage: Eukaryota; Viridiplantae; Streptophyta; Magnoliopsida; Poales; Bromeliaceae. The record is from Rfam by way of RNAcentral.
UUUUUGACAUGUACCUACAUUUAAAAGUGUCGCUAUAGACCGUUUUUGUUGUAGUGAGAAAUGUAAAGAUUUAAAUAUUUAAAAUUAAAAUCUAAAUCUAAAUCUAAAUUUUAAUCUUUAAAAUUUGAUAUUAUAAAAUUGAGGGGCCCGCGUCUGAUUAGCUAGUUGGUGAUGCAAUAGCUUACCGAGGGGAUAUCAGUCUUUGGUCCGAGAGGAUGAUCAGCCACACUAGGUCUGAGACAUGACCCAGACUCCUACGGGAGGCAGCAGUGGAAAAUUUUUCGCAAUGAAUAAAAAAUAAA